CGGGACUCAGCAGUGAUAAAAAUUAAGCAA
This 30-nucleotide non-coding RNA is filed under the name Cricetulus griseus (Chinese hamster). Lineage: Eukaryota; Metazoa; Chordata; Mammalia; Rodentia; Cricetidae. The record is from RNAcentral.